This 73-nucleotide transfer RNA is filed under the name Ipomoea nil (Japanese morning glory). It matches the Rfam family "tRNA". Rfam says of the family: Transfer RNA (tRNA) molecules are approximately 80 nucleotides in length. Their secondary structure includes four short double-helical elements and three loops (D, anti-codon, and T loops). Further hydrogen bonds mediate the characteristic L-shaped molecular structure. tRNAs have two regions of fundamental functional importance: the anti-codon, which is responsible for specific mRNA codon recognition, and the 3' end, to which the tRNAs corresponding amino acid is attached (by aminoacyl-tRNA synthetases). tRNAs cope with the degeneracy of the genetic code in two manners: having more than one tRNA (with a specific anti-codon) for a particular amino acid; and 'wobble' base-pairing, i.e. permitting non-standard base-pairing at the 3rd anti-codon position. The record is from Rfam by way of RNAcentral. Lineage: Eukaryota; Viridiplantae; Streptophyta; Magnoliopsida; Solanales; Convolvulaceae.
GCGGGGAUAGCUCAGUUGGGAGAGCGUCAGACUGAAGAUCUGAAGGUCACGUGUUCGGUCCAUGUUCACCCCA